Molecule: ribosomal RNA, 766 nt
Filed under: Klebsiella aerogenes
Lineage: Bacteria; Pseudomonadati; Pseudomonadota; Gammaproteobacteria; Enterobacterales; Enterobacteriaceae
Description: bacterial SSU rRNA
Rfam family: Bacterial small subunit ribosomal RNA
Source: RNAcentral
GCUCCACCGGAAAAAGAAGAGUGGCGAACGGGUGAGUAACACGUGGGUAACCUGCCCAUCAGAAGGGGAUAACACUUGGAAACAGGUGCUAAUACCGUAUAACAAUCGAAACCGCAUGGUUUUGAUUUGAAAGGCGCUUUCGGGUGUCGCUGAUGGAUGGACCCGCGGUGCAUUAGCUAGUUGGUGAGGUAACGGCUCACCAAGGCCACGAUGCAUAGCCGACCUGAGAGGGUGAUCGGCCACAUUGGGACUGAGACACGGCCCAAACUCCUACGGGAGGCAGCAGUAGGGAAUCUUCGGCAAUGGACGAAAGUCUGACCGAGCAACGCCGCGUGAGUGAAGAAGGUUUUCGGAUCGUAAAACUCUGUUGUUAGAGAAGAACAAGGAUGAGAGUAACUGUUCAUCCCUUGACGGUAUCUAACCAGAAAGCCACGGCUAACUACGUGCCAGCAGCCGCGGUAAUACGUAGGUGGCAAGCGUUGUCCGGAUUUAUUGGGCGUAAAGCGAGCGCAGGCGGUUUCUUAAGUCUGAUGUGAAAGCCCCCGGCUCAACCGGGGAGGGUCAUUGGAAACUGGGAGACUUGAGUGCAGAAGAGGAGAGUGGAAUUCCAUGUGUAGCGGUGAAAUGCGUAGAUAUAUGGAGGAACACCAGUGGCGAAGGCGGCUCUCUGGUCUGUAACUGACGCUGAGGCUCGAAAGCGUGGGGAGCAAACAGGAUUAGAUACCCUGGUAGUCCACGCCGUAAACGAUGAGUGCUAAGUGUUGGA